GACGAACGCUGGCGGCGUGCUUAACACAUGCAAGUCGAGCGAUGAAGCCGGAGCUUGCUCCGGUGGAUUAGUGGCGAACGGGUGAGUAACACGUGAGCAAUCUGCCCUUGACUCUGGGAUAACUGCGGGAAACUGUAGCUAAUACCGGAUACGACACCUUGGGGCAUCCCAGGGUGUGGAAAGAAUUUCGGUCAAGGAUGAGCUCGCGGCCUAUCAGCUAGUUGGUGAGGUAAUGGCUCACCAAGGCGACGAAGGGUAGCCGGCCUGAGAGGGUGACCGGCCACACUGGAACUGAGACACGGUCCAGACUCCUACGGGAGGCAGCAGUGGGGAAUAUUGCACAAUGGGCGAAAGCCUGAUGCAGCAACGCCGCGUGAGGGAUGAAGGCCUUCGGGUUGUAAACCUCUUUUAGUAGGGAAGAAGCGAAAGUGACGGUACCUGCAGAAAAAGCACCGGCUAACUACGUGCCAGCCGCCGCCGUAA
Molecule: ribosomal RNA, 483 nt
Filed under: uncultured bacterium
Lineage: Bacteria
Description: partial 16S ribosomal RNA
Rfam family: Bacterial small subunit ribosomal RNA
Source: RNAcentral